This 557-nucleotide long non-coding RNA is filed under the name Drosophila guanche. Lineage: Eukaryota; Metazoa; Arthropoda; Insecta; Diptera; Drosophilidae. The record is from RNAcentral.
GUCCAUCAACCGACUCAUCGUGUGUGGCGCGCUUGUCAAUCCAAACGGCAUUCUUUUAAACUGAUAAAGCGGCCUAUUUGGUACUGUGAAAGCUGUUUUCGCACGAGAUUCUUGGUCUAAUCUAAUCUGCCAGAAGGCAUCCUUAAGGUCUAUCUUUGUAAUACAGUGAACAGGCGGCAACCUACUUAACAAGCCAUCCAUGAUCGGAAUUGGAUACGCAUCUCUGACUGUAACUGCGUUGAGUUUGCGGGCAUCUAAACAAAGUCGCACCUUACCAGGUUUGAUGUUCAGUGUGACAGGAGAUGACCACGGGGAGCUCGGAGCUUCUUCAAUAACGUCCAUACUCAACAUGCGAUCGAUCUCUGCACAUAAAAGGGUCUCCUUUGCUGGAGACAAAGGGUAAAAUCUUUGCUUAACUGGCUUGCUGUUAGCCGUAUCAAUGUGGUGCUCUAUUAGGGUCGUUAACCCCAGUCCAUUCUUUUCGAAUGACGGAAACAAUUCGAUCACGUGCUGUAACUGCUUCUUUUGAGAAAUCGACAAGGCUAACUUGAGCAACU